RNAcentral lists this ribosomal RNA (253 nucleotides) under uncultured bacterium. RNAcentral describes it as "partial 16S ribosomal RNA". It matches the Rfam family "Bacterial small subunit ribosomal RNA", at positions 524 to 776 of the family's 1533-position model. The record is from RNAcentral.
UACGAAGGGGGCUAGCGUUGCUCGGAAUCACUGGGCGUAAAGCGCACGUAGGCGGCUUCUUAAGUCAGGGGUGAAAUCCUGGAGCUCAACUCCAGAACUGCCUUUGAUACUGAGUAGCUUGAGUCCGGGAGAGGUGAGUGGAACUGCGAGUGUAGAGGUGAAAUUCGUAGAUAUUCGCAAGAACACCAGUGGCGAAGGCAGGUCUCUGGGCAUUAACUGACGCUGAGGAGCGAAAGCAUGGGGAGCGAACAGG